Molecule: non-coding RNA, 44 nt
Organism: Macaca mulatta (Rhesus monkey)
Lineage: Eukaryota; Metazoa; Chordata; Mammalia; Primates; Cercopithecidae
Source: Rfam
UAAAAGGCUUUUCAAAGCCACACUCACUUUCAUAAAAACUGGCU